CUAACCAAACUUGUCGAUAGCCCCGUGCAAACGGGUUAAAAGGGAAUAUCGUACCUCUGCUUGCAGGGUAGUCGGUAGCUGCGCCCGCAACUGUAAGCAGUAAUGGUAUAAAGCAAAGUGCCACAUGGCAGACCACUGGUGCCAAUACAUACCGGGAAGGUGGCUUUAUACCGAUGAUCUGCAAGCCAGGAGACCUGCUAUUGUCGUACAGAAACG
RNAcentral lists this non-coding RNA (216 nucleotides) under Acetobacter orientalis. The record is from RNAcentral. Lineage: Bacteria; Pseudomonadati; Pseudomonadota; Alphaproteobacteria; Acetobacterales; Acetobacteraceae.